AUAUGUGUACAUAUGUGAUACAUACAUACAUAUUUCAUGUAUAUGUAACUGCAACCCAGAUAAAGACAGAAGAUUUCUUGCAACCCAAAAAGGCCCCUUGUCCUUGCUUUCAGUCUGAUACUACACAGCAGCUUAAAAGUAGCUGAUUUUUACAAAUAAAAUACUUUGAAGAUUACUCACACUAAUUUUAUUAGAAAUUGCAUUUAGUUGUGAAUAGGCCCGUAAAAGAA
Molecule: long non-coding RNA, 230 nt
Filed under: Homo sapiens (human)
Lineage: Eukaryota; Metazoa; Chordata; Mammalia; Primates; Hominidae
Description: non-protein coding lnc-EPC1-1:1
Source: RNAcentral